GAAUUCGCAGGUAGAUCAUCGUUCUCGUUCUCGUUCUCCGCCUCCGGAGACGCGAUCCGCCCCCCGCUUUCCACUAGGGUCGAGGGGUGUCGUGCCUCGCACAAACCGGGCCCUAAGCAUCGAAUCGGACGUGUGAAGCGUCUAUUGGGUAUGAGGCUAUUCAUGCGCUUGGCAGCGCUCUUCGUCUGUGGAGGGUUAUCGGUGGCCGGUACGGCCGCGCCGGCAACAGCGGCUCCGCACGCACGCAUCCUCUAUACGGUGCAGGACGUUUGGGAGACAGGAGCUCCA
This 288-nucleotide unclassified non-coding RNA is filed under the name uncultured bacterium. RNAcentral's name for it is "contains 16S-23S intergenic spacer region". The record is from RNAcentral.